UACGUAGGGUGCAAGCGUUGUCCGGAAUCAUUGGGCGUAAAGAGCGUGUAGGCGGCUUGGCAAGUCUGACGUGAAAGCCCGCGGCUCAACCGCGGAUUGUCGUUGGAAACUGCCUCGCUAGAGUCCGGAAGAGGAGAGCGGAAUUCCUGGUGUAGCGGUGGAAUGCGCAGAUAUCAGGAAGAACACCCGUGGCGAAGGCGGCUCUCUGGGACGGUACUGACGCUGAGACGCGAAAAGCGUGGGGAGCGAACAGG
RNAcentral lists this ribosomal RNA (254 nucleotides) under uncultured bacterium. RNAcentral's name for it is "partial 16S ribosomal RNA". It matches the Rfam family "Bacterial small subunit ribosomal RNA", at positions 524 to 776 of the family's 1533-position model. The record is from RNAcentral.